Pogona vitticeps (central bearded dragon) is the source of this 1320-nucleotide non-coding RNA. The record is from RefSeq and is a predicted model, not a curated record. NCBI's taxonomy places the organism in Eukaryota, Metazoa, Chordata, Lepidosauria, Squamata, Agamidae.
UGGAUUUUUAAAGGUUUUUUUUUCUUUUAGUAAUAAAUGGUGCGGCGGAGCUGGUGUGUCCGGGGAAAGCCGGAGCACACACACUGCGCACACAGCACCGUCAGCGGCCGGGGGACAAGGGGGAGGCCACCGCCCCGGCCGCGCACUAUAUAUAGCCGCCCCGCCCCCAGCCGCCUCCACCGUACAGCACGCCACGGACGGAAAGGCUUCAGUGCGCAAGCGUCGCCCCAAAAUACAAAAAAUGGUAGGGCGAGAGAGAGGAAGAAUGAGGCGGCACAGCGUCACGUGCCGUUUGCGUCUGACGCCACGCUUUCUGGGAAGACGCGGCUGCCCUAAUUAGGGCAAUAGACCGCGCAUGGGCAGUUGAUGGCUGCAAAACAGUGGUCUGCAGAAUUGUAAGGCUAUUGUGGAGGAAGGGGGAGAAGGGCAAGCCUGAAACGAAGGGAGACACGCCAGGUUUAUUAUCAGAUUUGAAAAAUAUCCAGCGAGCUUUUGUAAGAGACGCAUGCGCGGGGACCUAUUACAACUUCGUCAUGAUAGGCAGCGAGUGCCAACACAUUUAGAUGGCAUUCCAGUAUAAACAGAGGAAAAACUGGUUCUUCUGGUGAAACAGCCAGAUCAAGCUUCUGAGUUCUUCAGCUGACCUGAGAAAGAAUGCAAGGAAGUAUUUUGCAAGUUGGCGAAUUCCCACUUUGUUUCUGCAACAUUAACUAAUUUUCAGUGGCUCAUAAAACAAAAGGGGAAGUAAUAAUACCACAGACACCUUGUAUAAACAGUUGAAUCAGCGUAGCACCAACAGAGCUUCUUCCUGAAUAAAGCAAAGGGCCAAACCAGUCCUGGUUGGUGAUCCAGUUAAGGAGUGAUUCCAGAAUGAGCAAAAAGGAUAUGUGGCAGGCUGGUAGCACAGGGGAUGAUCAAAGUGAAAGAGACAUCCUCACCCAGCUGCUGCAGAUGGACAGUAAAGAUGUCGUGCCAUGGAAGUAGCACUUUCACUGAGGACUUGCAUCCUGUCCCACCACUCGCAUGCGCCUCUUUGUAAGCUUAUGUUUCUAACAGCGAAAGUGAGAGCAAGCACCUUCUCAGGGUAUGGUCUCAUCUGGUUGGGGUGCCAGGCCAGAGCCCUCCCCUUCCCUGAGACUGUAGGGCCAAAACCUGAGAUCAGGAUGGAUGUCAUGGUUGUCACAAAACCGGGGUUGGCAAGGGUAAGCCAGCUGAUUGUGAGAAUGGAACCAGAGUGUAGUAGUCCAGCAGGGAAACCUGGCUAACCAGUUUACUAGGCAACCAAGAGUCUGAAGAAAAAUGCUACCCCCCCCCAAACCA